RNAcentral lists this ribosomal RNA (497 nucleotides) under uncultured bacterium. Its description in RNAcentral is "partial 16S ribosomal RNA". It matches the Rfam family "Bacterial small subunit ribosomal RNA", at positions 28 to 507 of the family's 1533-position model. The record is from RNAcentral.
GAUGAACGCUGGCGGCGUGCCUAAUACAUGCAAGUCGAGCGAACAGACGAGGAGCUUGCUCCUCUGACGUUAGCGGCGGACGGGUGAGUAACACGUGGAUAACCUACCUAUAAGACUGGGAUAACUUCGGGAAACCGGAGCUAAUACCGGAUAACAUGUUGAACCGCAUGGUUCAACAGUGAAAGACGGUCUUGCUGUCACUUAUAGAUGGAUCCGCGCCGCAUUAGCUAGUUGGUAAGGUAACGGCUUACCAAGGCGACGAUGCGUAGCCGACCUGAGAGGAUGAUCAGCCACACUGGAACUGAGACACGGUCCAGACUCCUACGGGAGGCAGCAGUGGGGAAUCUUCCGCAAUGGGCGAAAGCCUGACGGAGCAACGCCGCGUGAGUGAAGAAGGUCUUCGGAUCGUAAAACUCUGUUAUUAGGAAAGAACAAAUGUGUAAUUAACUACGCACGUUUUGACGGUACCUAAACAGAAAGCCCCGGCUAACUACGUG